Molecule: ribosomal RNA, 498 nt
Filed under: uncultured bacterium
Lineage: Bacteria
Description: bacterial SSU rRNA
Rfam family: Bacterial small subunit ribosomal RNA
Source: RNAcentral
GAUGAACGCUGGCGGCGUGCUUAACACAUGCAAGUCGAACGAAGCAUUCAGAACAAGCACUUCGGUGUAAGUUUUGUCUGACUGAGUGGCGGACGGGUGAGUAACGCGUGGGUAACCUGCCCGAUACCGGGGGAUAACAGCCAGAAAUGGCUGCUAAUACCGCAUAAGCGCACAGCAUCGCAUGAUGCCGUGUGAAAAACUCCGGUGGUAUCGGAUGGACCCGCGUCUGAUUAGCUUGUUGGUGAGGUAACGGCUCACCAAGGCGACGAUCAGUAGCCGGCCUGAGAGGGUGUACGGCCACAUUGGGACUGAGACACGGCCCAAACUCCUACGGGAGGCAGCAGUGGGGAAUAUUGCACAAUGGGGGAAACCCUGAUGCAGCGACGCCGCGUGAGUGAAGAAGUAUUUCGGUAUGUAAAGCUCUAUCAGCAGGGAAGAAAAUGACGGUACCUGACUAAGAAGCCCCGGCUAACUACGUGCCAGCCGCCGCCGUAACAC